RNAcentral lists this transfer RNA (73 nucleotides) under Candidatus Peribacteria bacterium. Its description in RNAcentral is "tRNA-Thr". It matches the Rfam family "tRNA". Rfam says of the family: Transfer RNA (tRNA) molecules are approximately 80 nucleotides in length. Their secondary structure includes four short double-helical elements and three loops (D, anti-codon, and T loops). Further hydrogen bonds mediate the characteristic L-shaped molecular structure. tRNAs have two regions of fundamental functional importance: the anti-codon, which is responsible for specific mRNA codon recognition, and the 3' end, to which the tRNAs corresponding amino acid is attached (by aminoacyl-tRNA synthetases). tRNAs cope with the degeneracy of the genetic code in two manners: having more than one tRNA (with a specific anti-codon) for a particular amino acid; and 'wobble' base-pairing, i.e. permitting non-standard base-pairing at the 3rd anti-codon position. Lineage: Bacteria; Candidatus Peregrinibacteriota; Candidatus Peribacteria. The record is from RNAcentral.
GCCAGCUUGGCUCAGUCGGUAGAGCAUCUCACUCGUAACGAGAAGGCCGUGGGUUCGAUUCCCACAGCUGGCU